GAGUUUGAUUCUGGCUCAGGAGGAACGCUGGCGGCGUGCCUAACACAUGCAAGUCGAGCGAGAAAUAAAGAAACGGAGAAUUCGUUCAAAGAUUCUUUAUGGAAAGCGGCGGACGGGUGAGUAACGCGUAGGCAACCUGCCUCAUACAAAGGGAUAGCCUCGGGAAACCGGGAUUAAAACCUUAUAAAACCGAAGGAGCACAUGCUUCAUCGGUCAAAGAUUUAUCGGUAUGAGAUGGGCCUGCGUCUGAUUAGCUUGUUGGUGAGGUAACGGCUCACCAAGGCGACGAUCAGUAGCCGACCUGAGAGGGUAAACGGCCACAUUGGAACUGAGACACGGUCCAAACUCCUACGGGAGGCAGCAGUGGGGAAUAUUGCACAAUGGGCGAAAGCCUGAUGCAGCAACGCCGCGUGAGUGAUGAAGGCCCUUGGGUCGUAAAACUCUGUUGAGAGGGAAGAAAAAAAGGACGGUACCUCUGAGGAG
This 483-nucleotide ribosomal RNA is filed under the name Peptostreptococcaceae bacterium canine oral taxon 066. Its description in RNAcentral is "bacterial SSU rRNA". It matches the Rfam family "Bacterial small subunit ribosomal RNA", at positions 9 to 488 of the family's 1533-position model. Lineage: Bacteria; Bacillati; Bacillota; Clostridia; Peptostreptococcales; Peptostreptococcaceae. The record is from RNAcentral.